UACGGAGGGAGCUAGCGUUGUUCGGAAUUACUGGGCGUAAAGCGCGCGUAGGCGGCUUUGUAAGUUAGAGGUGAAAGCCCGGAGCUCAACUCCGGAACUGCCUUUAAGACUGCAUCGCUUGAAUCCGGGAGAGGUGAGUGGAAUUCCGGAGUGUAGAGGUGAAAUUCGUAGAUAUUCGGAAGAACACCAGUGGCGAAGGCGGCUCACUGGACCGGCAUUGACGCUGAGGUGCGAAAGCGUGGGGAGCAAACAGG
Molecule: ribosomal RNA, 254 nt
Filed under: uncultured bacterium
Lineage: Bacteria
Description: partial 16S ribosomal RNA
Rfam family: Bacterial small subunit ribosomal RNA
Source: RNAcentral